Molecule: ribosomal RNA, 426 nt
Filed under: uncultured bacterium
Lineage: Bacteria
Description: bacterial SSU rRNA
Rfam family: Bacterial small subunit ribosomal RNA
Source: RNAcentral
UGGGGAAUAUUGGGCAAUGGGCGAAAGCCUGACCCAGCGACGCCGCGUGGGUGAUGAAGGCCUUCGGGUUGUAAAACCCUUUCGUGCGGAAAGAAUAGUCCUGUAGCGAAUAACUACGGGAUUUGACGGUACCGCAGGAAGAAGCACCGGCUAACUCCGUGCCAGCAGCCGCGGUAAUACGGAGGGUGCAAGCGUUGUUCGGAAUUAUUGGGCGUAAAGGGCGCGUAGGUGGUUGUGAUAGUCAGAUGUGAAAUCCUUCGGCUCAACGGAGGAACGGGAGCUGAAAGUGCAUAGCGCGAGUACAGGAGAGGGGAGCGGAAUGCGCGGGGGAGGGGGGAAAUGCGUAGAGAGAGGGAGGAAGAGCGGGGGGGAAGGCGGUGUGCAGGCGGGAUACGUACGCGGAGGCGCGAGAGGGUGGGGAGCAAA